ACGAACGCUGGCGGCAUGCCUCACACAUGCAAGUCGAACGAGACCUUCGGGUCUAGUGGCGCACGGGUGCGUAACGCGUGGGAACCUGCCCUUAGGUUCGGAAUAACUCCCCGAAAGGGGUGCUAAUACCGGAUAAUGUCUUCGGACCAAGAUUUAUCGCCUUUGGAUGGGCCCGCGUUGGAUUAGCUAGUUGGUAGGGUAAAAGCCUACCAAGGCGACGAUCCAUAGCUGGUCUGAGAGGAUGAUCAGCCACACUGGGACUGAGACACGGCCCAGACUCCUACGGGAGGCAGCAGUGGGGAAUAUUGGACAAUGGGCGAAAGCCUGAUCCAGCAAUGCCGCGUGAGUGAUGAAGGCCUUAGGGUUGUAAAGCUCUUUUACCCGGGAUGAUAAUGACAGUACCGGGAGAAUAAGCUCCGGCUAACUCCGUG
This 431-nucleotide ribosomal RNA is filed under the name uncultured bacterium. RNAcentral describes it as "partial 16S ribosomal RNA". It matches the Rfam family "Bacterial small subunit ribosomal RNA", at positions 29 to 507 of the family's 1533-position model. The record is from RNAcentral.